This 286-nucleotide ribosomal RNA is filed under the name Vaucheria litorea. RNAcentral's name for it is "partial Bacterial small subunit ribosomal RNA". It matches the Rfam family "Bacterial small subunit ribosomal RNA", at positions 526 to 811 of the family's 1533-position model. The record is from RNAcentral. Lineage: Eukaryota; Xanthophyceae; Vaucheriales; Vaucheriaceae.
CGGAGGGUGCGAGCGUUAAUCGGAAUUACUGGGCGUAAAGCGCACGCAGGCGGUUUGUUAAGCUAGAUGUGAAAGCCCCGGGCUCAACCUGGGAUGGUCAUUUAGAACUGGCAGACUAGAGUCUUGGAGAGGGGAGUGGAAUUCCAGGUGUAGCGGUGAAAUGCGUAGAUAUCUGGAGGAACAUCAGUGGCGAAGGCGACUCCCUGGCCAAAGACUGACGCUCAUGUGCGAAAGUGUGGGUAGCGAACAGGAUUAGAUACCCUGGUAGUCCACACCGUAAACGCUG